AGUGGCGGACGGGUGAGUAACGCGUGAGAAUCUGCCUUGGGGUCGGGGACAACCACUGGAAACGGUGGCUAAUACCGGAUAAGCCGAUUGGUGAAAGAUUUAUUGCCCGAAGAGGAGCUCGCGUCUGAUUAGCUAGUUGGUGAGGUAAGAGCUCACCAAGGCAGCGAUCAGUAGCUGGUCUGAGAGGACGAUCAGCCACACUGGGACUGAGACACGGCCCAGACUCCUACGGGAGGCAGCAGUGGGGAAUUUUCCGCAAUGGGCGAAAGCCUGACGGAGCAAGACCGCGUGAGGGAGGAAGGCUCUUGGGUUGUAAACCUCUUUUCUCAGGGAAGAAGCUCUGACGGUACCUGAGGAAUCAGCCUCGGCUAACUCCGUGCCAGCAGCCGCGGUAAUACGGAGGAGGCAAGCGUUAUCCGGAAUUAUUGGGCGUAAAGCGUCCGCAGGUGGCGAUUCAAGUCUGCUGUCAAAGCACGGGGCUUAACUCCGUAAAGGCAGUGGAGACUGAAUAGCUAGAGUGCCGUAGGGGUAGAGGGAAUUCCCGGUGUAGCGGUGAAAUGCGUAGAGAUCGGGAAGAACAUCGGUGGCGAAAGCGCUCUACUGGACGGCAACUGACACUCAGGGACGAAAGCUAGGGGAGCGAAUGGGAUUAGAUACCCC
Molecule: ribosomal RNA, 660 nt
Filed under: uncultured bacterium
Lineage: Bacteria
Description: bacterial SSU rRNA
Rfam family: Bacterial small subunit ribosomal RNA
Source: RNAcentral